AUGGCUUCCGCCGCCAUGGCCGCCUCUUCCAGAGCCUUGUUCCGUCCGCAUCGCCUCCUCCUCCUCCCUGACCCUCGCCGCCGCCGCCACCUCUCCGCCAGUGCUGUGGCUUCAGCAAACGCCGCAGCCACGACCGUCCGGCGCGGAGUAGUCGACGUUCUCCGGGAGCGCGGGCUCGUGGAGGCUACCACCUCCGAGGCGCUCGGUUCUUCCUCGGCAGCUUCUGGGGAGCAGCAGCAGCUCAAGGUUUACUGCGGCUUCGACCCCACGGCCGAGAGCCUGCAUCUCGGCAACCUCCUCGGCCUUGUCGCGCUCUCCUGGUUCCGUCGUUGCGGCCACACCGCCGUCGCGCUCGUCGGCGGAGCGACUGGCCGCGUCGGAGAUCCCUCCGGAAAAAGCGCCGAGCGCCCUGAGCUAGACCUCGCCGCCGUGGUCGCCAACUCUGACGCGAUCAAGUCGCUCAUCGCUCAGAUCCUCACCCGCGCCCCCGAGCCAUCUCAUCUCGCCCAAUCUGGUAAAGACGCGAUUUUGGACAAACAUGAAGAUGCUCUUGCCAAUUCUGACCAGGAUUUAUCAGAGAACUCGGGCAAUGCGGGGGAAAGUAUGGGUUCCUUUGUUAUCUUGGAUAACUACGACUGGUGGAAGGACAUCACAUUGCUUGAUUUCCUCAAGGAGAGUGUGAAGAAGCGGCUCAAUUCAGAAGAUGGUAUGAGCUACACUGAGUUCACCUACCAGCUUCUCCAGGGCUAUGACUUCCUGUACAUGUUCAAGAACAUGGGUGUCAAUGUGCAGAUUGGGGGUAGUGAUCAGUGGGGAAACAUCACCGCGGGUACCGACUUGAUCCGGAAAAUUCUCCAGGUUGAGGGAGCGCACGGUCUGACAUUCCCACUCUUGCUGAAGAGCGAUGGAACCAAGUUUGGAAAGACAGAGGAUGGGGCUAUUUGGCUCUCAUCAAAGAUGCUCUCCCCUUACAAGUUUUACCAGUACUUUUUCUCAGUCCCGGAUGUUGAUGUCGUAAGGUUUAUGAAAAUCCUUACAUUUUUGAGCUUGGAUGAGAUUCAUGAGUUGGAAGAAUCGAUGAAGAAGCCCGGCUAUGUGCCAAACACAGUUCAAAGGAGGCUUGCAGAAGAGGUGACACGCUUCGUCCAUGGCCAGGAGGGAGUGGAGGAGGCCUUGAAGGCAACUGAGGCCUUACGGCCUGGGGCACAGACACAGCUGGACUCACAAACAAUUGAGGGAAUAGCAGAUGAUGUACCGUCGUGUUCUUUACCAUACGACCAAGUAUUCAAGUCUCCCCUGGUUGAUCUGGCUGCCUCUACAGGUUUGCUCGCAAGCAAAUCAGCGGCUAGGCGGCUUAUAAAGCAGGGUGGUCUGUACUUGAAUAACACGAAGGUCAAUAGUGAGGAUAAGUUGGUCGAGGAAGGUGAUAUAGUUGAUGGGAAGGUGCUGCUGCUAUCUGCCGGAAAAAAGAACAAGAUGGUUGUGCGAAUAUCUUAA
RNAcentral lists this ribosomal RNA (1497 nucleotides) under Triticum aestivum (bread wheat). Its description in RNAcentral is "partial small subunit ribosomal RNA". Lineage: Eukaryota; Viridiplantae; Streptophyta; Magnoliopsida; Poales; Poaceae. The record is from RNAcentral.